This 433-nucleotide ribosomal RNA is filed under the name uncultured bacterium. RNAcentral describes it as "partial 16S ribosomal RNA". It matches the Rfam family "Bacterial small subunit ribosomal RNA", at positions 29 to 507 of the family's 1533-position model. The record is from RNAcentral.
AACGAACGCUGGCGGCAUGCCUAACACAUGCAAGUCGAACGAGACCUUCGGGUCUAGUGGCGCACGGGUGCGUAACGCGUGGGAACCUGCCUUUAGGUUCGGAAUAACUCAGAGAAAUUUGAGCUAAUACCGGAUGAUGUCUUCGGACCAAAGAUUUAUCGCCUUUAGAUGGGCCCGCGUUGGAUUAGCUGGUUGGUGGGGUAAAGGCCUACCAAGGCGACGAUCCAUAGCUGGUCUGAGAGGAUGAUCAGCCACACUGGGACUGGGACACGGCCCAGACUCCUACGGGAGGCAGCAGUGGGGAAUAUUGGACAAUGGGCGAAGGCCUGAUCCAGCAAUGCCGCGUGAGUGAUGAAGGCCUUAGGGUUGUAAAGCUCUUUUACCCGAGAUGAUAAUGACAGUAUCGGGAGAAUAAGCUCCGGCUAACUCCGUG